UGGGUACCGGAGGGAGGGAGGCGGGCAGAGGAGGGGAGAUGGGCACCCCCAGUUUUUCCAUCCUCCUCAUUCGUCUAGGGGCACCCGAAUCCCCUAUUCCUUAUUUCCCCUAUCACUCAGGCACUGGCAGGGUCCUUUUCCCACUCCUGUUGGCCGCCGCGGCUCCAAAGCGAGCUGGGCAGAUGUGCCUGAGACAGGUUUGACCAGGCAACUGAAAAUAUAUCCCUAAGAGAAGACAAAACAAAGAUAUGAAAGGAACACACUUCCCUGACUGACUAGGAGGAACAGAGCUGCCUGCUGACUGGAACCGCUUCCUCCCAGACUAACCUUACAGAGGGAGCUGAUCAGUUUCCCCUCCUGCCCAAAGGCAAAGCAGCCACAGUGGAAGUGCCAGAGUCCUCCCUCACAGCCUUCUGUCUAGUGGUUAUUCCCGCUUCAAGGCUAAGGAAGGGAAGGACCCGUUUUGCUUUCAAAGGCUUUUUCCUUCCAGCCCUUGCUGUGCACCCGUUGUGUGUGGGAG
This 520-nucleotide long non-coding RNA is filed under the name Homo sapiens (human). RNAcentral describes it as "HSALNT0400610". Lineage: Eukaryota; Metazoa; Chordata; Mammalia; Primates; Hominidae. The record is from RNAcentral.